Molecule: long non-coding RNA, 837 nt
Organism: Hirundo rustica (Barn swallow)
Lineage: Eukaryota; Metazoa; Chordata; Aves; Passeriformes; Hirundinidae
Exons: 3
Source: RefSeq, a predicted model, not a curated record
CCUGUAUCCUGAGGCUGGAGGAGGGGAUCUGCAGAUACAUUCUGGCAGUUGGUGCUCUGAAUUUUGAUGAUGGCAGGAACAAACACAGUGUCAACACUGUGCAGAUGUGUUUUAACCCAGCAGAAUAUUUCGAUGAGUUUGAUGAAGACCACUGGCAAUGGGCAGCACAAGUAAUUUAAGUUCCUUUGUAGUUCUACCAUAUCUAUCAUCAACAGGACAAAAGCAUUUGAGAAAAAAGGUGAAAGUCAGUACCAGUGUGUUUCCUCAUAAGACUCCAACAUGAGAAGUUCAGAGAACAGUAGCUUUGCUGAGAACUGCCUGGCACACUUUAUGAAGAUUUGUCCUUUAUUAAUAUUUCUGGUUUCUGGACUGUGGGCAGUUAUGAAGAGGUCAGUGAUUCCCCCUCCAUCAGACAGCAAAUGGACCUCUUAGGCUCAGGAUGAGCAGUUGGGUUUUCCUCCUUGAAAAGAUGGGUGAAGAGGAGAGAAAGUCAGAUCUGGUCCUGCGGGUUAAUCUGUGGAGCAGUCCCAGAGGCAAAAGCACAGAGGUGACACAGUCUCACAGCAUUGCUCUUGGAUCCAUAGCAGCCCACUCUCUUCUGAGUGCCUGCUGAUGUGCCUCAGUAUCCUCCUUAUUGCAGCACCAUCACUCAGAGUAUUUGAAUUUUCGUGUCUUCAGUGUGAGCUCUUUGUAAAGUAAUAAUCUGUGCUUUCAAAUGUUCAGUCAUAAUCAGCUGAUUGAUCAUCCUUUGGUUGGGGGUAACAAAUGUGACAUUUGGCGACCAGGUUAUCCUGUGCUUGGCACCACAGUGCAGCGUGUGGCUUUUGGCUUGGUGAA